Molecule: small nuclear RNA, 103 nt
Filed under: Ipomoea nil (Japanese morning glory)
Lineage: Eukaryota; Viridiplantae; Streptophyta; Magnoliopsida; Solanales; Convolvulaceae
Source: RNAcentral
AUAUACAACUAGAUAUGGGUGCAACAUAAUUGGAAUGAUACGGAGAAGAUUAACAUGGUCCCUGCGUAAGGAUCGCACAAAUCAAGAAAUGGUCCUAAAUAGG